AUUGAACGCUGGCGGCAUGCCUUACACAUGCAAGUCGAACGGCAGCACGGGAGCAAUCCUGGUGGCGAGUGGCGAACGGGUGAGUAAUGUAUCGGAACGUGCCCAGUCGUGGGGGAUAACGUAGCGAAAGCUACGCUAAUACUGCAUACGAUCUGUGGAUGAAAGCGGGGGACCGUAAGUCCUCGCGCGAUUGGAGCCGCCGAUAACAGAUUAGGUAGUUGGUGGGGUAAAGGCCUACCAAGCCGAGGAUCUGUAGCUGGUCUGAGAGGACGACAAGCAACACGGGGACUGAGACAGGGCCCAGACUCCUACGGGAGGAAGCAGUGGGAAAUUUUGAACAAUGGGCGCAAGCCUGAUCCAGCAAUGCCGCGUGCAGGAUGAAGGCCUUCGGGUUGUAAACUGCUUUUGUACGGAGCGAAAAGGCUCUCUCUAAUACAGGGGGCUCGUGACGGUACCGUAAGAAUAAGCACCGGCUAACUACGUGCCAGCAGCCGCCGUAA
RNAcentral lists this ribosomal RNA (500 nucleotides) under uncultured bacterium. RNAcentral's name for it is "partial 16S ribosomal RNA". It matches the Rfam family "Bacterial small subunit ribosomal RNA", at positions 30 to 523 of the family's 1533-position model. The record is from RNAcentral.